ACAUGUAUGUAUGCGUGUGUGUGUGUUAAUUGUUCAGUUUAGUUAUAUAAAAAAGGUAAAUAAAAAUUAAGGGGGAGAUAAGUAGUAAAAGAAGCAAAGAGACAUUAGGUGUUAUAGAGAGAGAGUCUCAAGAAAGUGUUUUUUGGUUAAAGUACCUGACCGCAUAGAAGAAACUUUAACUGAGCUGAUACAAAGGUGGAUUUUGCCUGGGUCUCACAUUGUCAAUGAUGGGUGGCGAGCAUAUAAUAACAUCUGUAUCCUCAAUGGAGGCGCCUACACACGUGAGCUGAUUAUACACCAACAACCCGUGGAAGAGGUAGACCCAGGAAGACCUGGGAUGAAGUGGUGAAGCACGACUUUCGAACUUUGGGCCUCACCAAGGAAAUGACUAGUGACCGAAACUUUUGGAAAUAUGCUGUGCAUGAGA
This is a long non-coding RNA of Octopus sinensis (East Asian common octopus), 427 nucleotides long. RefSeq lists it as uncharacterized. NCBI's taxonomy places the organism in Eukaryota, Metazoa, Mollusca, Cephalopoda, Octopoda, Octopodidae. The transcript is spliced from 3 exons. The record is from RefSeq and is a predicted model, not a curated record.